RNAcentral lists this long non-coding RNA (828 nucleotides) under Ananas comosus (pineapple). Its description in RNAcentral is "long non-coding RNA (ACOM_LNC015841)". Lineage: Eukaryota; Viridiplantae; Streptophyta; Magnoliopsida; Poales; Bromeliaceae. The record is from RNAcentral.
GUAUCACACUUAAGUAGCUUCUUCAUAUCUAUCUUGGCUUUUACGGCAGUGCAACCGAGUCAUGCCAUACAACUUCAAAUGCCGUGCUUUAGACAAUUUAAAAAUAAUAUCAAGUCACUUUCGGAUUCUCGCAGCAACAGCAACCAGUUCGUUGCUUCUUCGGUCAAGCACUCUACUACAAAUGAUUAAUUGCAACAGAAAGUAAUUGCAGAAGCGCCUCAAAGCGACAAUUUUUUUUUUUUUUUUUCUGAGAGAGAGAUAGCACGCUACCUGCUUCAUUUAUUUUAUUUAGAAAUAAACUUAGCUAGAAAUGUGAAUCAACUAGAAUUCGAACUUGAGACCUCGGGUACCAACCACCAAGCCCUUUGCCACUUGCUCUAGGGACGGUCGGUAGCAGACUUAAGAUUUUAGAUUGGAUAAGUUUUAUUAUAUAUGUGACAUUCUUAAAUAUGUGGAUUUAGGCUAGGCAAGAACACUUUUCAUAUAAGGUAAGUCACCAACUUUAUAUGGGAUUGUUUGUUUUGCCGAAACUGGAUUUUGGGUUGAAAUAAAGUUCAGUGGAAACUACUUCUCUUCUGCUAUUUAUUUCAUAACUAUGAAAGUGAAAUUUCUUUAGUUUUACUAUUUGUUUGGCAAAAAGUGAAUAUUAUAAAACUAUAAUUUAUAUAUAAAUAAUAAAUAACUUAAUAAAUAAUAAAUUAUAAUAUAAUAAAUAAAUAUAAUAUAAUUACAUUCCUAUGUAAUUAAAAAAAAUAAUCAAAAACAACUAAAUUAUUUUUAUACAUUAAAUUAUAAUAAUACAAUAAUAAAAUUAUAAAGUAAAACAAA